This is a long non-coding RNA of Zalophus californianus (California sea lion), 658 nucleotides long. RefSeq lists it as uncharacterized. NCBI's taxonomy places the organism in Eukaryota, Metazoa, Chordata, Mammalia, Carnivora, Otariidae. The record is from RefSeq and is a predicted model, not a curated record. The transcript is spliced from 3 exons.
UAACAGGUGGGUCUCCUAAACUCAGCUGCUUUUGGCAAUUAUCUACAGUAUUCCAGAGUUGUGCUUCUGUCCACCUCAGCUGCUUGCCUGUUUGGCUCAGAGAGUAUCAACUUUGAAAACAAGGCAAAGAGAAAACAAUCCAUCAGCAGGACUAUCUCAGGAGCCGAGAACAAGGCACAGUCGGCCAGUGCUGCUUGAGGAAUGGCAUAAAGAACGAUGCAGGAAGGAAACAUUUAAUCCAUCUACUUUGAUCCAAAAAACUGUCUUGAUGACAUUUGGAAGGAUUUAAUGACAUUUUCCUUGGUUCCAGCUCUACUAUUCAGCCAUACCUCAUUGUAUAUGAUUAAGCUGUAACUCUGCAGACAGUUAUAGGGCCCAAUGCCUCAAGUUCAUAAUUAAGAUGCAAAAACAAAAAAUGAAACAAACAAAAACUCCAACAACAACCAAAAAAUAAUUUUGCCAAGUACUCCUUUCCCAAUAAUUGACUUGAAAUGCUCUCUGUUCUCUACUGAGCUCUGAGUUGUGAAGCAGUUCCUUGGAUGGGGACUAUCAGACUUGACUCACACUAGGAUCUUUUCUAACUGCUUUCAUCUCCCAAAUGCCUACCAUGAUUCAGAGGUUACCAGAUGUUGCAUCUAGUAAUAAAGGUAUAAAAAUG